GAUACCUGUGGUNAUUCUAGAGCUAAUACAUGCAUACAUGCCUANNUUCUUGGAAGGGCAGUAUUUAUUAGAUACAGAACCANUNCCGCAAGGGUCUUUUGGUGAUUCAUAAUAAAUGAACGGAGCGUAAGGCAUGCGCCGACGCUGAAUCAUUCAAGUUUCUGACCUAUCAGCUUUCGACGGUAGGGUAUUGGCCUACCGUGGCAUUGACGGGUGACGGAGAAUUAGGGUUCGAUUCCGGAGAGGGAGCCCGAGAAACGGCUACCACAUCUAAGGAAGGCAGCAGGCGCGCAAAUUACCCAAUCCUGACUCAGGGAGGUAGUGACAAGAAGUAACAAGGCGAUCCUCUUACGAGGUAUUGCUAUUGGAAUGAGUAGAAUUUAAAUCUCUCUACGACUAUCAAUUGGAGGGCAAGCCUGGUGCCAGCAGCCGCGGUAAUUCCAGCUCCAAUAGCGUAUAUUAAAGUUGUUGCGGUUAAAAAGCUCGUAGUUGGAUUUCUGUUGAGAGUGGCCAGUCCGCACUUAGUGCGAGUAUUUGGUUCAGUCUCGGCAUCCUCCAGGGGAGCGUACUGUACUUGAUUGUAUGGUGCGCAAUUCUGGACUUUUACUUUGAGGAAAUUAGAGUGUUCACGGCAGGCAUUUGCCUUGAAUAUGUUAGCAUGGAAUAAUAAUAUAAGACCUUGGUCUUAUUUUGUUGGUUUCUAGGAGCAGGGUAAUGAUUAAUAGGGAUAAUUGGGGGUAUUCGAAUUAAGGCGUCAGAGGUGGAAUUCUUGGAUUGCCUUACGACGAACUACUGCGAAAGCAUUUACCAAGGAUGUUUUCAUUGAUCAAGAACGAAAGUCAGGGGAUCGAAGACGAUUAGAUACCGUCGUAGUCUUGACCAUAAACUAUGCC
RNAcentral lists this ribosomal RNA (893 nucleotides) under uncultured eukaryote. RNAcentral's name for it is "SSU rRNA". It matches the Rfam family "Eukaryotic small subunit ribosomal RNA", at positions 142 to 1043 of the family's 1831-position model. The record is from RNAcentral.